GGCGCAGCCGAGCGUUUUAUGUCUGAUAAAACACUCCUACUCGUGUUUUGAAUAGCUUAAAAUACGACUACAAAAGAAUACUAAUUAGGAUGAACAUUAUAUAAUCAUACUAAUUAGGAUGAACAAUUAUAUAAUGCCGCAUGCUUUAUCAGAUAUAAAGUCACUCCACGUGACAUAUUAUGGCUGACAUGAUUUGCCACAAGGUUUAUGAAUUAUUAAUGAGUAUUUUAAGUACUAUUUANNNNNNNNNNNNNNNNNNNNGUUGCAAAUUCUGAUAUCAAUGGCAAAGCCAAGACUACCAACGCGGAAAUCGCUCCUAGCCAAACAUAUACACCAAGUAGUUUGCCGGGUCAGACGAAGACCGACACUCGUGCAACCUCGGUAACUCGAGACAAUGUAGUGUUGUUGCUUGGUGUCUGUAUUGGUGGUGCUGUGUUGGUCAUCAUCACCAUUCUUGUUUUCAUGUUAUUGAGAAGGAGCUCACGCACACGAGGGGCCAAGAUAACUCGCAG
This 512-nucleotide long non-coding RNA is filed under the name Paramuricea clavata. The record is from RNAcentral. Lineage: Eukaryota; Metazoa; Cnidaria; Anthozoa; Malacalcyonacea; Plexauridae.